Non-coding RNA from Anas platyrhynchos (mallard), 2182 nucleotides. The record is from RefSeq and is a predicted model, not a curated record. Lineage: Eukaryota; Metazoa; Chordata; Aves; Anseriformes; Anatidae.
GGCGGAGCGGGCCGGGCCUCGUCGCCUCACCGAGCCCCCGGAGCUGCCUCCCUCCGGGGCAGGACCCCCCGACAGGCUCCGGGGAAAGCCCCCCGAGAGCCCCCCGGUGGGUGCCCAUUUCUUAUCAGUCCCAGUAACUGCUCUUUCCAAAUGAUGGAAAGUUUCUGAGUCCACACUCAAGCACAGACAUUGCGAAACUUCACAGACUUUAAGCUGGCUGUAGAAGAGCAGGACGUGAGAACACUUCAUGCCUGGCAACAAGCACAUUUCUUGCCUGCAGUUGGAGGGGAUAAUGAAAGAAAAAGAGCACAAGGGAAUGCUGCAAACCACAACUGGAAAAGCUGAGAUCCUGCGUUAAAACAGAAACACCAAAGGUCUGCGAACGUUGCUUUGUCAGGCUGUCUCCAGUGCUGUGAGCAAAGUCUGGGCUCAAACUGAAAAUAAAAGGGACUUUCUGUUGAACAGAAUCACGCAAGUGAAGUGGGGUGUGGGAUUUGGUGAGGUCUCAGGCAUGUCUUAGCUUUUGUGAUGAGGUGGUGGAGGAGAAAGGCGUGUGUGUAGCCACAUACAGACCUUGGAGAGCCAGCUGUGGCAGCAAAAGCUGGAGAAAUUGUGCCUGAUACCAACUCUGUGCUGAAAUAAAAUGCACAGUCUGCUGCCACGAGAGAAACCCAUAGAAAAAAAAGGGGUCCUUUUAAACAUUUGGAGAGUUACUUCUAGCCACAGCCAUUCUGUAGGUUCAGCUCCCAAAGCGAGCACUGGUGUUGACACAAGGCGAAGUCAGGCUGCAGACAGCCUCGCCGUGCCGCUGGCAGCAGCAUGUGCUGUCCCUGUGCCCUAGGGCUUGUUGGAGUGUGCCCAGGGCUGAUGUCACUUGCUGUCCCACCAAAAGCCAGCCCAGCAAACAUGACUUCAGGGUUCUGCCAGGGUGCUGAGCUGAAGCUGAUCACCCCAGAGGCAGAGGAGCACAGGAAGAGCCAGGGCAACACGUGGUUGGAAGCAGGACACCCUCAUACCAUUUGGUCAGCCAUGGCUGUGUCUUCACCCCAAGCAGCAGCUCCUCAACCUGCCCCACGCUGGAGCAAGCACAGCCUUGGCUCUUGGCCACCUGCUUGUGCCAGAGGUGAAUCAUGCAACACUGAGCCUGGCUUACAGCACACUGCCUGCCCACUGUGCUUUCUCCCCUAGCAUCAUCCUUGCUGCCACCCCAUUUUCUCCAAUAUAUUGUUUUAUUACUUCCUGGCAUAAAACCCCUUUUAUUUCCUGCAUGCACACAGAUUACAGCCUGUUCCCUACGUCCUUUCCCUAGCUCAGGGGAUUUUUAUGUCUCAAAGGACUCACAGCAUGGUCACAAGCAGAACCAGGCAGAGAGAGACCUGUCCUGCCCAUUCCCACUGCUGGUGCUGCCAGAGGUGGGGAACCAGACAGCUUGGAGGGUGUCCCCUCUGUCCCAGGCACAGGGAAACAUUGCCUGGCACCUGCAGCAGCAAUGAGGCAGCAGCUGAGUCCCUUACCCCCCUGUUAUUUUGAAAUCCAUCCUACAUGGAUGCCAUUUACUUGCUUUUGCCUGUUCCAUUUUUCAGGGUCUGCUUGGUGAUAUCAUCGGUUGAGUUUAACAUUCACCGUCUGUCUCUGCAGUACGAGGCUGAGCAUGAUGCAGCAGGAGAGCAGGGGAAGGGCAAAGAGAGAGGACAGGACGUUCGGCGCCUGUGCAGAGAAAAAAAAAAUCACUACUUUCUGUAACAUGCAUCUACCAAAAGAUGGCAGCAAAUAUCCUAGUAUGGAGCUGGGCUCUUUUUCAGACAUGCUGUAAUUAUCUCAGUGAGUGACAGAAAAACUGAGAAUGAGCAGCCAAAAUGAAGGAGAGAAUUGAUGUUUAGAACUUCUUGGUGAUUUCUUAUACCGUUGAAAGAAUCUCUUUCAUUUAAAGUGAAGACAUAAGCACAGAUAUUCUUCCCAGCAGGCUGACCACAGACGGCCCCCAAGGUCUGUGCCAUGCCAGAGCGGUGCCACACAGUCUGCAGUGGCCUGGGGAUAGCAGGAGUGGGGAGCAUGGCUGGGACAAGACCAGGGAGGGUUGCAUUGUUUUUUUAGGGAAAAAAAAAAAAAAAAAAAAAAGGAGAAAACAAAAGGGGAAUGCAAUAAAAGCUAAACUCGUUCAGCUUCUUUUGAUCUCGGAGAA